GCGGGCGUAGUUCAGUGGCAAGAACGCAAGGUUUCCAACCUUGAUGUCAGGGGUUCGAGUCCCCUCGCCCGCUCCG
This 76-nucleotide transfer RNA is filed under the name Chloroflexota bacterium. RNAcentral describes it as "Chloroflexi bacterium tRNA-Gly". It matches the Rfam family "tRNA". Rfam says of the family: Transfer RNA (tRNA) molecules are approximately 80 nucleotides in length. Lineage: Bacteria; Bacillati; Chloroflexota. The record is from RNAcentral.